GGGCCCGCACAAGCGGUGGAGUAUGUGGUUUAAUUCGAUGCAACGCGAAGAACCUUACCAGGGUUUGACAUCCUGCGAAUUUCUGGGAAACCGGAAAGUGCCUUCGGGAGCGCAGUGACAGGUGGUGCAUGGCUGUCGUCAGCUCGUGUCGUGAGAUGUUGGGUUAAGUCCCGCAACGAGCGCAACCCACGUCUUUAGUUGCCAGCAUUUAGUUGGGCACUCUAGAGAGACCGCCGGUGAUAAACCGGAGGAAGGUGUGGAUGACGUCAAGUCAUCAUGCCCCUUACAUCCUGGGCUACACACGUACUACAAUGCUACGGACAAAGGGCAGCAAACUCGCGAGAGCUAGCAAAUCCCAUAAACCGUGGCUCAGUUCAGAUCGUAGGCUGCAACUCGCCUACGUGAAGGAGGAAUCGCUAG
Molecule: ribosomal RNA, 420 nt
Filed under: uncultured bacterium
Lineage: Bacteria
Description: bacterial SSU rRNA
Rfam family: Bacterial small subunit ribosomal RNA
Source: RNAcentral